GUCCGUGCUGUAAAACGCCAUUGACGUGACUCGACGCGCACAUGAUGACGAGGUGCCGAGGAAGCGUCUACCUGUACAAGUGUCGCCGUUUGGGGUCGUCCUCUGUGCUCAGAAAGUAUCUGGGAAAAGAAGCCGCUAAGGCCAGGAUGUUGGUGACAUCCCAAUCCCCCGACGUCAGCGACUGAAGUAUGUCCAAGCUGGUGUUGGGCUAAGGCAGAUGAGUCAAGUCAAGCUCAGACGAGAAACAUCCACUUGUGCGAGCGAUAGCAUACCAUGGAGGUGGACAUAGAAAUAUGGAAGAACUUCCCUCUCCCACCCUGAGGGAUGGCUCGUGUGAAAAAGAACUUGUGUCCGUCGUGUGAAAAAAGAGGCGCUUCAUUCUGCGGACGGGAAGAAAAUGGGGUGUGUUUGCACGCUAGUGAACAAAAACACACGGGUGAUGUUUCACACCUACCUGUCUGUGCAACCAGCUUGUGCUCUCAUCUUCAUGUUUCUAAAAAGUCACAAUGCGUUAUUUAAGCCUUUGCUGAUCUCACACGUACUUGUGUAAACAUUUUAUAUAAACUUUUGUUUUUUAUAUA
Syngnathus acus (greater pipefish) is the source of this 581-nucleotide long non-coding RNA. RefSeq lists it as uncharacterized. Lineage: Eukaryota; Metazoa; Chordata; Actinopteri; Syngnathiformes; Syngnathidae. The record is from RefSeq and is a predicted model, not a curated record. The transcript is spliced from 2 exons.